GCGCGUUUAGCUCAGUGGUAGAGCGUCACAUUGACAUUGUGAAGGUCGCAGGUCCGAUCCCUGCAACGCGCA
RNAcentral lists this transfer RNA (72 nucleotides) under Candidatus Giovannonibacteria bacterium RIFCSPLOWO2_01_FULL_44_16. RNAcentral describes it as "tRNA-Val". It matches the Rfam family "tRNA". Rfam says of the family: Transfer RNA (tRNA) molecules are approximately 80 nucleotides in length. Their secondary structure includes four short double-helical elements and three loops (D, anti-codon, and T loops). The record is from RNAcentral. Lineage: Bacteria; Candidatus Giovannoniibacteriota.